This 408-nucleotide ribosomal RNA is filed under the name uncultured bacterium. RNAcentral describes it as "bacterial SSU rRNA". It matches the Rfam family "Bacterial small subunit ribosomal RNA", at positions 356 to 773 of the family's 1533-position model. The record is from RNAcentral.
AGGGAAUAUUGCGCAAUGGACGGAAGUCUGACGCAGCGACGCCGCGUGAGCGAUGAAGGUCUUCGGAUCGUAAAGCUCUGUCCUUGGGGAAGAAGGCGAAAGCUUGACGGUACCCAAGAAGAAAGCCCCGGCUAACUACGUGCCAGCAGCCGCGGUAAUACGUAGGGGGCGAGCGUUGUCCGGAAUUACUGGGCGUAAAGGGUGCGUAGGCGGCCCUUUAAGUCGGAUGUGAAAGCCCGCGGCUUAACCGCGGAAUGGCAUUCGAAACUGGAGGGCUUGAGUGUCGGAGAGGGUAGUGGAAUUCCCAGUGUAGCGGUGAAAUGCGUAGAUAUUGGGAGGAACACCAGUGGCGAAGGCGACUACCUGGACGAUAACUGACGCUGAGGCACGAAAGCUAGGGGAGCAGAC